AGAGUUUGAUCAUGGCUCAGAACGAACGCUGGCGGCAGGCUUAACACAUGCAAGUCGAACGAUGUAGCAAUACAUAGUGGCGCACGGGUGAGUAACGCGUGGGAAUAUACCUUAUAGUGGGGAAUAACUUUGGGAAACUAAAGCUAAUACCGCAUACGCCCGAGAGGGGAAAGAUUUAUCGCUAUAAGAUUAGCCCGCGUGAGAUUAGGUAGUUGGUGGGGUAAUGGCCUACCAAGCCUACGAUCUCUAGCUGGUCUGAGAGGAUGGUCAGCCACACUGGAACUGAGACACGGUCCAGACUCCUACGGGAGGCAGCAGUGGGGAAUAUUGGGCAAUGGAGGAAACUCUGACCCAGCCAUGCCGCGUGAAUGAUGAAGGCCUUAGGGUUGUAAAGUUCUUUCGCCGAUGAAGAUAAUGACGGUAGUCGGAGAAGAAGCCCCGGCUAACUUCGUGCCAGCAGCCGCGGUAAUACGAAGGGGGCUAGCGUUGUUCGGAAUUACUGGGCGUAAAGCGAGCGUAGGUUGCUCGAUAAGUCAGUGGUGAAAGCCCAGAGCUCAACUCUGGAACUGCCAUUGAAACUGUCGAGCUGGAAUCUCAGAGGGGGUAGCGGAAUUCCAAAUGUAGGGGUGAAAUCCGUAGAUAUUUGGAGGAACACCGGUGGCGAAGGCGGCUACCUGGAUGAGUAUUGACACUGAGGCUCGAAAGCGUGGGGAGCGAACAGGAUUAGAUACCCUGGUAGUCC
RNAcentral lists this ribosomal RNA (742 nucleotides) under uncultured bacterium. Its description in RNAcentral is "bacterial SSU rRNA". It matches the Rfam family "Bacterial small subunit ribosomal RNA", at positions 8 to 796 of the family's 1533-position model. The record is from RNAcentral.